Molecule: non-coding RNA, 4000 nt
Organism: Danio rerio (zebrafish)
Lineage: Eukaryota; Metazoa; Chordata; Actinopteri; Cypriniformes; Danionidae
Source: RefSeq, a predicted model, not a curated record
CAGACAUCAAUAUAAAAGAGAGAAUUCGCCUUAGAUGUGGCUUUAACUCACCUGUUCUGUAGUGAAUUGUUGUUUUCAUGUCCGUUGAGGGAAAUUGUUCGGUUAAAAACAAAAACGCUCGUCUCAAUUCACAUAAUUAUGAACUAUUCUGUGCCAUUUUGGACUAUAAAUUAUCAGUAGAUCAUAUUUCACACAAAAAUAAAAGCACUAACAUGAUUAAGAGCACUUUAAAUAGCCGAAUAACACACUUAUUUAUUCAACCGUUAAAUAAUAAGGGUGUAAUUUUGAACACUUCAUUCACUUAACGGUCGGUUUUGCUUACGUCACGUCGAAGGGGCGGAGCUAUCAGACGCUGAUGUUGGAUUACUUCAUUAUUUUAUUGUGAACGCAAAAUUCACCCACAUAAGGGAUUAUGGCGCCACCCGAUGGUAAAUGCGGGUGUACUCAUGAAAAAAGCUGAAAAACGGAGACUGAGAAUGAGAGAAGAACUCUUAAAGAGAAAAUGGAUAGAGGAUAUCAGGAUUUUACAAUAAAAGGUUUAUUAAAAGAUGGUUUAUAAUUAGGGAGACAAAUAAAGGCAAUUAUAAGAUUCAUUUGGAAUAACGAAUUAUACAUUAGAAUUUAGGAAACCAGAUCAGCGUCUUCACACUCCAUCACAGUAGGGGGCGAUAUGCACCCCGGUUCGCAACUCGACAUAAAACGAAGAAGAAGAAGACGUUUAAAGUUUGCGUCUAUAUCCUCCGAUCUGCAUCGCAAACUCCACACCAACGAAAUGACUUUUUGAAAGCCUUCAUCUUCCAAGCAUCUGAGAAACUCCCACAACAAGAAAGAGAGAGAGAAAUUAAACUCAGAUGAACAACUCACACACACCAGGUCAGACUGGAAAGAUCCGACUGCAUCUCUUGACUUCUCGCCUUUAUUCUUCAUAUUUUGGGUCUGUUUCAGAGUUAAACAGGUCUGAUGGAGGAGACAUGCCGUCAUGUUAAAACAGAGGAGAAAACUGGCUCACUGAAGAGAAAAGACGAAACAUGUUUGACCUGCACUCAGUUUGGACAGAGUCUGGGAUGCCAACAGAGUCUCAGGAAUCACAUGACGAUCCACACUGAAGAGAAACCGUUCACAUGUGAUCAAUGCAGCAAAACCUUUUUGAGGGCUUCAGAGUUAAAGAGCCAUCUUAGAGUUCACACAAAGGAGAAACCUUAUUCCUGUUCUCUGUGUGGAAAGAGAUUUACAUGUCAGUCAAAUUUAAAAGCACAUCAGAAGAUCCACACUGGUGUGAGAGAGUAUGUGUGCUCUGAGUGUGAGAAGACUUUUAUUACAGCUAGACAACUGAAAAGGCACCAGAGGAACCACACUGGAGAGAAACCGUUCUCAUGUGUUCAGUGCGGGACGAGUUUUAAACAUUCGUCAGACCUUAAUAAACACAUGUUGAUCCACACUGGAGACAAAACACACAAAUGUGAUCAAUGCAGCAAGACAUUUUUGAGGGCUUCAGAUCUGAAGGUCCAUCUUAGAGUUCACACAAAGGAGAAACCUUAUUCAUGUUCAUUGUGUGAAAAGAGAUUUACAUGUCAGUCAAGUUUAAAAGCACAUCAGAAGAUCCACACUGGUGUGAGAGAGUUUAUGUGCUUUGCUUGUGAGAAGACUUUUAUUACAACUGAACAACUGAAACGUCACCAAAGGAUUCACACUGGAGAGAGACCGUACGUGUGUUCACAAUGUGACAAGUCAUUUAGUCUGUUAGGAAACCUGAAUGCGCAUCAGAGGAUCCACACUGGAGAGAAACCAUUUGUGUGUUCACACUGCGAAAAGAGAUUCAGUCUGUUAGGAAACCUAAAAAAACAUGAGAUGAUCCACACUGGAGAGAAACCGUUCACAUGUGUUCAGUGUGGGAAGAGUUUCAGACAGUUAUCAAAUCUUAAUCUACACAUGUUGAUUCACACUGGAGAGAAAAAACACACAAAUGUCACUCAAAUGUGAUCAAUGUGGCAAAAGUUUUUUUGAGGGCUUUAAGUCUUGAAGUUCCUCCAUGCAUUUGAGAAUUCUAGGUUUCUAUCAGGGAGGGUACACACCCCGGCACUGCAAGUCGGCGGCUGUCCACAGCACCCAGCCAUGACUCACGACACUGUUCAUAUUUCUGCCGCACCACAGAGCAACAUCUGAAUAGUUUCACGUUAAAUAACAUUCGAAAGUGCGCGUCAGGUGUGUGAUACUUUCACCUGUCAUGUGGAUGGUGCAUCCGGUGCAAAGCCUUUUAGAAUCCAUACACUGUUAGACUUUGCAACAAUUUUACUGUAACUUACUGCAAAAACGGGCAGUAAAAUACUGCUUGCAUUCUGUACAGUACAAUACUGCAAUGUGCACUGUAUUAUGGGUAUUUUAGUACUUUUGCAGUAACUUCCUGUAUAUUAAGGAUUUGCGGUAUUCAACUGUAAGUAAAAGCAGUACUGCUACUGUAAAAAGAUGAUAGACUUUUGAAUAUUAGUGUUGAUUUAUUUCACAGGUUAAAGCUGUGACUUGCAGCAUAUAAUAUAUAUGUCCUAAAAUAGUGUCAAGAUAUUUUACUCAACCAAAUGUUGGCGUGGGAUGAUGAUGGUUUUCAAGUUAUACUGGAGUUUAGAAAAGUCAAGGUUAUAAUACCGCCAACAUUUUCUGUAAUACCGUUCCUAAGGUAUGUUUUUAAGCAACAGUAUCUCCAGCAGAAAAAAUAUACAAAGUUGUCAUUUUUAAAUUAAAACAUCAGUGUUUUUUUGUAACUAAUGUUAUUAAGGAGAAUGUCCUAAUGUGUGAAAAUACUUUACCUCAGUGCACAAUUGUGUAUAAAAAAGAAAAAUCAAAAACAGCCAAUUCAAAAAACGCCACUUUAGAGCUAGUAUUUGAAGGAUUCCCUUGCAUAAUGUGGAGUAUUAUUAUGACUUAGUGAUGACAAAACAGCUCACACAUCAAGAUUUAUAAAGCUGAAUGAACAGUCCUUCAUUUCUUUGCUGCAUCCGUGUAUUCACUUACGUUAUAUUAAGCCUAUAAAAGCUUAACCAAAGCAAACACUAACCAGAUUACAUUACAGACAUCAAAAUAAAAGAGAGAAUUCGCCUUAGAUGUGGCUUUAACUUACCUGUUCUGUAGUGAAAUGUUGUUUUCAUGUACGUUGAGGGAAAUCGUUAAGUUAAAGACACAAAGACGUGUGUCAAAUCACAUAAUUAUGAACUAUUAUGCGACAUUUUGGACUAUAAAUAGUCAGUAGUUCAUUCACACCGAAAAAUAAAAGCCCCAACAUGAUUAAGAGCACUUUAAAUAGCCGAAUAACACUUAUUUAUUCAACCGUUAAAUAAUAAGGGUGUAAUUUUGAAUACUGCAUUACCUUAAUGGUCAGUUUUGCACACGUCACGUCGAAGGGGCGGAGCUAUCAGACACUGAUGUUGGAUUACUUCAUUAUUUUAUUGUGAACGCAAAAUUCCCCCACAUAAGGGAUUAUGGGGCCUCCCGAUGGUAAAUGCGGGUGUACUCAUGAAAAAGGUGGAAAACGGAGACUAUAAAAAUGAGAGAACUCUUAAAGAGGAGAUGCAAAGAGGAAAUCCGGAUUUCACAAUAUAUCAUUAAAACAUGUUUAUUAAAAUAUGGUUUACAUCCAGGGAGACAAAUAAAGACAAUUAUAAGACAGUGCAUAGAAUUUAGGAAACCAGUCAGUCUCUUCACACUCCAUCACAGUAGGGGGCGAUAUGCACAUCGGUUUGCAACUCAACAUAAAACCAAGAAGAAGAAGACGUUUAAAGUUUGCGUCUCUCGUAUCCUCCGAUCUGCAUCGCAAACUCCACACCAACGAAAUGACUUUUUAAAAGCCUUCAUCUUCCAAGCAUCAGAGAAUCUCGCACAGCGAGAGAGAGUCCCACUAAACUCAGAUGAACAACUAGGUCACACCAGGUCAGACUGGAAAGAUCCGACUGCAUCUCUUGACUUCUCGCCUUUAUUCUUCAUAUUUUGGGUCUGUUUCAGAGUUAAACAG